AUGUGCUUUUUAUCUGAUUUCUGUUUUACAAACGCUCUGAUCUUUCGAUCUUUACCUCAUAUUGACUUGCUCCUGCUCUGUCGUUCUUAUUCUUUUUUUGUCUCUCUCUCUCUAACCGCCUGUCUUUCAUUUAGUGCUGUCAGCAUACUGUCCAUACUUUUUCCUACUCCUGUUUUAGCCGGUAUUGGGUGUAGCUCUAUACGUAGCUCGCUUUCUCUUUCAGGACAGGUGGGGAGGUGUUACCAAGAUAAACGUACAUCUUUAGGGCCAUUUUAUCUGACCUGGUCACUUUUGUCCAAUAUUUUUGUUAAUUUGCUCUUCUGUUUGCGCCGAGAACACUCUGGUAUUGAUGGCAACGCUCUGCAUUUCUUUUCAUCCACAUCUCUUUAUCAUCUGUCCAUCCCCCUACCCCUCUCUCUCUCUCUCUUUUUCCUCUCAUCCUCAAAUUCUCAAACGCUGAAUCAGCUGCUUGGGAACGGACGCUCCCCCUGCCUCUUGGAUCCACACACAAGCUGCCUCUCCCCGGUUCGACGGUGUCCUUUUCCUGUCCUGAGCUUGGGAUUCUGGCACACACAGAAGUCUUGCCCAAAAAUGCUUUGCUAAAGCUGGUAAAAUGGAACCAAAUCAACUGUUUUAUGGAUUUGGUCCCCUUCAACCAGCUGUAGCUGUGCAUUGAUCACCCCGUAGAGCUGUGAUGAAGAAAGAGAGGUGUUCAAAAGCAUAACACACAAUAUUUGCUCUGUGUGAAGUUCACAGUGCAGGACCGGCUGUUAAAUGCAUGUUCCUUUAAGCACUAAUAUCAUGAUUAAACAUUUUUUUGUCCUCUUAAAGCCUAGGUGAGUAUUACAGUAUAUAUGCCAUGUAAUUUAUUAUUUAUGAGAUAUAAUUGUUGAUUAUGUAUUCAAGCCAGAUCACUAUCAUUGGAAAGAGGGCUCUGGGCUCUUUAUGGCCGCCCAUUGAUUUCUUGUCUCACCAUUGAAAGAGUGUGGGGUGGGGGGAUGAGCCAGGCUGGACGGAUGUAGGGAAUGAGGGAGUGGGUGCAUGUCAAGCUGUUGAAUAAGUAAAACAGUUGUUCCUUUUCUCUCUGUUUUCCUUCUACACUUGUCGUGAUUCUUAAUGCACAUGGCUGAUCAAUAAAAGCUCAUCCUGAAGUUCA
Cyprinus carpio (common carp) is the source of this 1156-nucleotide long non-coding RNA. Lineage: Eukaryota; Metazoa; Chordata; Actinopteri; Cypriniformes; Cyprinidae. The record is from Ensembl.